UCAUCCCUUUGCAAGUGGUGAUAGGACCGAAUGGGAGGAAAAUGAAGGAGGCCACGAGGAUGGUGAAAAUUCCUCAAGGGGGGGAAUGGAGUGAACAAGGUUGAGAGCCACUGGGAUAGAGAGUUCUGAAUGGUGGACGGGAUGGGAUAGAGGGGAAUAGCAGGUCUAGACAUCGGGUUAGUAGGACAGGAAGCGUGUGAGACAACAAAGAAUGGUAAUACUCACACGUAUCCAGAUCCUUCACUUUAGGAAUGUGUGUGUGUGUGUGUGUGUGUGUGUGUGUGUGUGUGUGUGUGUGUGUGUGUGUGUGUGUGUGUGUGUGUGUGUGUGUGUAUUUAUCUCUCUCUGUUAUAUAAUGUAUUGGGUGAUAAUGUUUUUUACAGAUCUCUUUGUACCUGAGUGGAGAGAGAGAGAGAGAGACAUUAUCUCUCACACAUGUUAUCCUGGAGUAUGUGGUGUCCUCGCAAGAGUUACUAGGCGUUAGUAGCUAGCUAGAUCCUGGUCCUAGUAUCCUCCUAGUAGUAUCGUCCUAAUAGCUGUCUUAGAUGUUGUACGAUAUCCUUGUGUUUUGGGGCUGGUUACUGGUGAAUUUAUUACCAUGGGGACUAGUUACACCUGAAUACGUCUUAGGGGGCUGGUUACUGGUGAAUUAAUCCCUAUCAAGUCCAGGUACCACUGAAUCUACCACGUGUUUACUUUUAUCACAUUACUGAAACCUUCAAGUUAAUUUCAGUAGAUGUUUGAUAAUGUUUAUUUUAAUGCUUUUGUUUUCAAGUUUGUUUUAUUUAGCUUAGUGUUAGGUUUUAUAUAUAUAGACAAAAAAAAACUCCAAUGGUACUUGCAAAGGAGGAAUUUCAGAAUGUUUUGUUUUUUUAACCCUAGAAAAGUAAUAUGGGGUAAAAAAAUAAAACCACGUUGAAGUAUGAGUUUUUAUGUUGAAUGUUGAUGAAUUUGAGUGUAGAGUUAUGGUAGUUAUGAGUGUCAUCCCCCCUGAAGGAUGACUCAAUACUAGGAGGUGUUGAGUCUUAGCUGUGUGUCAAGUCCCCAGGAGGAGGUGUUGAGUCUUAGCAGUGUGUCAAGUCCCCAGGAGGAGGUGUUGAGUCUUAGCAGUGUGUCAAGUCCCCAGGAGGAGGUGUUGAGUCUUAGCUGUGUGUCAAGUCCCCAGGAGGAGGUGUUGAGUCUUAGCAGUGUGUCAAGUCCCCAGGAGGAGGUGUUGAGUCUUAGCUGUGUGUCAAGUCCCCAG
This is a long non-coding RNA of Homarus americanus (American lobster), 1243 nucleotides long. RefSeq lists it as uncharacterized. The transcript is spliced from 3 exons. Lineage: Eukaryota; Metazoa; Arthropoda; Malacostraca; Decapoda; Nephropidae. The record is from RefSeq and is a predicted model, not a curated record.